GGCCCUCAAUCUCGAUGAAGAUAACACGAGGAGUGCACAGGCAAGUGCCCAGUUGCCAGCAAUUGCUUCAAAAGCCCAUGUUCUUCUUUUCCCCCAUUCUUAGGCACAGCCAAAAUUGGUCAGAAAGGGGAGUAAAGUGGGACACGAGCUUCAAAGUAGGGAAACCAAAGAAGGGAGCAUCCACGUCCUCUCUCUGCAGCUUCUCCCCCGCGUUCUUCGGGCGAAUCCGAGGGACGGGCGCUGCGCUGGGGAAAGUUUGUCCCACCCGCGUUUCGCAGCUGGUUGCAAGGAGAGGAGGAGGAGAGGGAGGGUCAAGCUCGGAGCCUGUGACCGCACGGAUGAUCGAGCCGGCGUCGCGCUUACCUCGCAGUCCUCGUACUUGAUAUUAUCCGUCAAUUUCCAAAGCAUUUUCAUGGAUCGGCGUGAACGGAUAUGCCCCUCUCGGUCUCGCACCCAAGUGGAGCUACUCUCUGGCUCUUUACCAACAGCCUAAUCGCCUCAUUAGCAUAUCAACAAUAGUCCAAUUGCUCGCCAGUACCACAAUCUGCCGCCGGCCGCUCCGACACAGGUAUAAAGGCCUCUCUACGCCGCGAACUUGCUUCUAGAGCGCACUCCAGCCUGCGAACUGAUAAAACCUUCCUCGAGCUCCGCCGCGAGGCCCUGCCCCAACACCCCCUCUCUUACCCCAAUUCCGCCACAUUCCCCUUCCUUUCUUUCUCCGCUUCCUUUUCUCCAGAGAUGCCUUCUGCAAAGCCCGGCACUGCUCAAGGUCCAAGCGCCACGCCUGGGGCCCAGCUUCUAGCACUUCUCCCUUAACCCUGCUACCACGAUCCGAGCUGCCCUUUUGGCCCCGUGCAAUUUUAUUAGAAAUCAUUAUCCCUUUCGCAAUUAAACAUAACCACCAAACCAA
Molecule: long non-coding RNA, 910 nt
Filed under: Homo sapiens (human)
Lineage: Eukaryota; Metazoa; Chordata; Mammalia; Primates; Hominidae
Description: TFAP2A antisense RNA 1
Source: RNAcentral